CCUACGGGUGGCAGCAGUGGGGAAUAUUGCACAAUGGGGGAAACCCUGAUGCAGCGACGCCGCGUGAGUGAAGACGUAUUUCGGUAUGUAAAGCUCUAUCAGCCGGGAAGAAAAUGACGGUACGUGUAUAAGAAGCCCCGGCUAACUACGUGCCAGCAGCCGCGGUAAUACGGAGGGGGCAAGCGUUAUACGGAUUUACUGGGUGUAAAGGGAGCGUAGACGGCAGCACAAGUCUGGAGUGAAAUGCCGGGGGUUAACCCCGGAACUGCGUUGGAAACUGUGCAUCUAGAGUGCAGGAGAGGUAAGUGGAAUGCGUAGUGGAGCGGUGAAAUGCGUAGAUAUUAGGAAGAACACCAGUGGCGAAGGCAGCUUACUGGACCGUAACUGACGUUGAGGCUCGAAAGCGUGGGGAGCAAACAGGAUUAGAUACCCCUGUAGUC
This 440-nucleotide ribosomal RNA is filed under the name uncultured bacterium. RNAcentral describes it as "partial 16S ribosomal RNA". It matches the Rfam family "Bacterial small subunit ribosomal RNA", at positions 338 to 795 of the family's 1533-position model. The record is from RNAcentral.